CGAUGAUACGCGAGGAACCUUACCAGGGCUUGACAUACGCUGGAAUGGCGGGAGACCGUCCAGCCUUUCGGGGCCGGCGUACAGGUGCUGCAUGGCUGUCGUCAGCUCGUGCUGUGAAGUGUGGUUAGUCCGCACGAGCGCAACCCUGCCAUCUGUUGCCAGCAAGUGAAGUUGGGGACUCAAGUGGAACUGCCGGUGACAAACCGGAGGAAGGUGGGGACGACGUCAAGUCAUCAUGGCCCUUAUGUCCUGGGCUACACACGUGCUACAAUGGCCGGUACAGAGCGCAGCGAAGCCGCGAGGCAAAGCGAAUCGCAAAAAGCCGGUCUCAGUACGGAUUGGAGUCUGAAACCCGACUCCAUGAAGUUGGAAUCGCUAGUAAUCGCGCAUCAGCCAUGGCGCGGUGAAUACGUUCCCGGGCCUU
Molecule: ribosomal RNA, 424 nt
Filed under: uncultured Spirochaeta sp.
Lineage: Bacteria; Pseudomonadati; Spirochaetota; Spirochaetia; Spirochaetales; Spirochaetaceae
Description: bacterial SSU rRNA
Rfam family: Bacterial small subunit ribosomal RNA
Source: RNAcentral